RNAcentral lists this ribosomal RNA (301 nucleotides) under uncultured bacterium. RNAcentral's name for it is "partial 16S ribosomal RNA". It matches the Rfam family "Bacterial small subunit ribosomal RNA", at positions 509 to 807 of the family's 1533-position model. The record is from RNAcentral.
CAGUCGCCGCGGGAACACGUAGGGUGCAAGCGUUAAUUGGAAUUACUGGGCGUAAAGCGUGCGCAGGCGGUUAUAUAAGACAGAUGUGAAAUCCCCGGGCUCAACCUGGGAACUGCAUUUGUGACUGUAUAGCUAGAGUACGGCAGAGGGGGAUGGAAUUCCGCGUGUAGCAGUGAAAUGCGUAGAUAUGCGGAGGAACACCGAUGGCGAAGGCAAUCCCCUGGGCCUGUACUGACGCUCAUGCACGAAAGCGUGGGGAGCAAACAGGAUUAGAUACCCCAGUAGUCCCUGUCUCUUAUAC